Long non-coding RNA from Perca flavescens (yellow perch), 1063 nucleotides. RefSeq lists it as uncharacterized. The transcript is spliced from 3 exons. NCBI's taxonomy places the organism in Eukaryota, Metazoa, Chordata, Actinopteri, Perciformes, Percidae. The record is from RefSeq and is a predicted model, not a curated record.
ACCCGCCCACUUUAAAUGGCCGACAGACAGAAUUUAGCCACUAGCCGGUGAACACGGUGGAGCAUUUAGCAGCUAGCACCUAGCAGACCAAAACAGAGCUAAAAGAAGAGUGAAUAGGACUUACGUUACAUCUCAAUAACGGAAGGAAGCUGCAUGAAGCAUUUCGCCUCAGUCUCCCAAUACAAGUGAAAACAAACAUCUCCAAUGUAGCACAUCCUGGAUUCCUUGUAAGAAGAUCUCAUCCCCUCCCUUGACACUGCCACUGUUCCUGUUGACUCGACAGAUCCUCAGCUCUGCUGUGUUUGGGGCCCCUGGUGAUGCAGAAACAAGUUGUAAACAUGCAACCUAACAGACUGCAUUCUACAAGUGAGACAACAUUUUUAUUUCCAAGAGUGAUAAUGUCAGAAUCUGCCUUUACUUGAUCUAGUUGAUGUCCUGUUGUGAGAAACCAGCUUUAGUGGCCUCAGUGUAACUUGUUCAAUAUUCGCCUCAGUUUAGAAAAAAACCACAUUCAGUUUACAGUUAAAGCCUCAGCAGUCCCAUGUCACAUGCCUGGUGUCAGAAGAGGAAGUGCUCCAUGGUAACGCUGUUACUUGAGGGUUAGUGUGUAUAAAGAACUUCCCCUUUCUCAACUAGUUCCCUAAGCGCAACAUUUAAAACAGCAUUGAGAGAAUAUCUGCUGGACACACCUUCACAAGUCUUGCAACAAACACUAGCAUGCACAGACUGCACAGCUACAUACUGUAUCAUGUAUGUGCAACCACAGCGACAAUUCUUGCAUAGUAUUAUUGCGCCAUGUCAAUUAGUAGAAUUUUUAUACAAUUCUAGGUGAAUAUGUUACAUUCCAAUCUGUAAAAACUCUGAACCAAGUCUCUCUUAUGUGUUUUAAUUGGUAUCAUACAUUUGUAUCAUCCAGUAAAUUGUUACACUGUCUUCCUUUCUGAAGAUUUAUCUGUGCGAACCUACCUUGAACCAAUCCUCCUUGCCUCUGGCGCCUCUUUCUUAUCUAUCUACUCUCACAUCAUCUAAGUGAAUGGAGCCAUUGUUAGAAAAUGUAUAUAUC